GUGUGUUCGAUGCUUUUAUAACCAAGGUAUGGCGUUGGCGAUCACGUUUAGUUUUUAAGUGCGUAGUGCGUGUUGCUUUCGGAAGCCAUUGGAUAAACGAUGUGUACUAGAAAUAGACAUGUUACGAGAAUCCAUUACAAUGGAUAUCUAAAAUAAAAUAUAUGUUGAGUCAAUACUGUUUCUAAUUGAUGUAUUAAUUUUAUAGGUAUUUUUAUUGUACAUAUAUAUAUUAAUACCUACGUGAAGUAAAAACUUUGUACCUCUUUUUACGAAAAUUGCGAAAAAUAGUAUGAAAUUUCGCACACUUAUAGUUUAUAUAG
This 320-nucleotide unclassified non-coding RNA is filed under the name Melitaea cinxia (Glanville fritillary). Its description in RNAcentral is "misc RNA ENSMCXG00005005981.1". The record is from RNAcentral. Lineage: Eukaryota; Metazoa; Arthropoda; Insecta; Lepidoptera; Nymphalidae.